RNAcentral lists this long non-coding RNA (1493 nucleotides) under Cyanistes caeruleus (blue tit). RNAcentral describes it as "lncRNA (ENSCCEG00000019583.1)". The record is from RNAcentral. Lineage: Eukaryota; Metazoa; Chordata; Aves; Passeriformes; Paridae.
AGGAUAUCGGCUAUGGGCUGGAAUAAUGAAAAUAGUAAUGGAACAUGGCAUCAGCAGUGACAUGGAGGCUGAAAGAGCAGAAAUGUUGUGGAGAUCAAAGCAGUUGGGAACAGUCCUUUGUACUAUUAAUAUCUGCCAUAUUUUGAGAGUGGAGAAGAAGUGUAAAGGCAAGCUGUGCUCUGCUCUCCCUCGGGCCACCACCAUUAGAGGCACUUGCUGAGCCUGGCGAGCUCCUGCGGAAGGACAGCAGCCCGCCGGAGAACAGAGCAGAACAUGCACUAUCUAAAAAGCUAACAUGACAGAUACAAGGCCAGGCAAGCAUUCAAUUUGGGCUAUCAUGAAAAGGAAGGAGAAGAAGAGGAGAAUCUUUAGUGACAGCUUGCUGAGGAGCUGGCUCUGCCGUGUCUGGGAGCAGAGCCCUGAGCAGGAGAGCGCCAGUGCUCUGUGCCUGCUGGAGGAGAAGAAGAGUGCUGGGAAGCAGCCUGGCACCUGACUUCUUUAGGGCUGCCCAUCCACAGCCACUGGCCGGGUCAGAUCAGUCACAGGGAACACCUGGGUGACUGAAAUCAAUUCAUACACAGAGAGGAGUGCGAAAAAAUCAUCCAAGAGAAGCUCAGAGCCAGCUUGGAGAGCCUUGGUGGAAAAGGACAAUCUGCAGUGUGGCCAGGCCUUUGAGAACCACCUGAAACAAGAUCCCUCACUCAGGCUGCAGCUGAGCAAGGGUGAACAUUUAACUGUAAUUGUUUUGACUUCAGUGAAAGUGCUCAUCUGUUCAGCAUUAGACAUCUGCUUAAUUUCCUGAAUGGAUUGAGUCCUACAGAGCUAAACAUCCAGGAGUGACAAAUGCUGGUUCAGGUGUGGGAUUGUGCCUCUCUGAGACAGAUGUUCCUAAACCACCGCAUGCAUCAAAGUCAGCGGCACUAAAAGAGGGCUGAAUUUAGCCUUGUUCCUAUGUUUAUCCAUCCUGCAGCAUUAUGUGUUUUCCUUUCCCUCAUUUUUGCAUUCUACUGUCUCACUUCAGUACAAACUGUAUGAGACAGAGGCUCCUGGGGGAGCAGCUGGAGAUUUGAAAUUCACAUCACUGUUCCCCUUAAGCCUGUCAGAUGAUCAGAUAGCCGAGGAAGUGCUAAUAGCUUAUGCUCUGGUGAAAUAUGUUUUUCUGUACAUGAUUACCUUUGUAUUUUGUUCCCCUUAUCCCUGAUUGUCAGCAUUUUAAUUAAAAGUAGAGGUGUGAGAACAUGGGAAAACCUGUCUGCAGAACAAGGCUGACUUUGAUUUAAGUUAGUGUACUAAGUUUGUAAAUGUGGAACCCAAUUUUCUGCUGCUGUCAUCUGUCUGGAGAGAGACCAUGGAGCUGGAUGCUGAGAAUUCACUUUGCUUCCUGAGGCCUCUGUGUCUCUCCAGAGGGGCAGAGGGGGUGUACAGAGCAAGUAACCCUUGAUGGAGUUUUCCAAAGGUGCUUUGAGCUGCUAUUGCUGCUCUGACUAAAAGUU